CGCCUUUCAAGGUAACUUGUCUGGAGACAGGGCAGAAGUCAGCAUAUGCCAUAGUCGCCAAACGUCGGGAGUAAUGCCCUGGACAUGGUGAAGGGC
RNAcentral lists this non-coding RNA (96 nucleotides) under Desulfocicer vacuolatum DSM 3385. The record is from RNAcentral. Lineage: Bacteria; Pseudomonadati; Thermodesulfobacteriota; Desulfobacteria; Desulfobacterales; Desulfobacteraceae.